GUUCCCGCCCGGCAGGGCAGCGCCCUCCGCCCCUGAGGGACAGCGCGGCCGCCGAAGGGGCGAUCUGGCGCCGGGAGUCAAGUUGGGCGGUCCCCGCAGCGCUGGGGAGCAGUAGAGACUUUGGGUUUAUCUUCUCCUUUUUGAGCCCUGAGGAAACACUUGAAGAGGGGCAGAAAGGGCCGUGAGGAGAGCUCCGGGCCGAGGCAGGGCUUGCUGAGCACGCGGAGUGCGGUAGAGAUAGCAAAUCUGAGUUUGGAGUCACCUUCACUUCAAUAUUCUAGAGCUACAGAAUGAAUGGUAAAUCCUCCUGCAGAGUAAACAGCCUGAAAAGGGAACAGCUGCAGAUGCCUUUUUGACAAGCACCUCGCCUGAUGCUGGCCAUGUGAAAUAUUUGUACCCGUCAGAUAUAUUACGCUGUCCUCAUCUUCAGUUCUCUGUGUUGUUUACAGCCUGGUUCCCUGGAAGUCAGUAGAGCUUUUCAUAGCUAGUCCUUCAAUUCUUGAAAAUACACAAGUCAAGUAUUUUUAACUGUUUC
Long non-coding RNA from Gallus gallus (chicken), 535 nucleotides. The record is from Ensembl. NCBI's taxonomy places the organism in Eukaryota, Metazoa, Chordata, Aves, Galliformes, Phasianidae.